AUAUAAGCAAAUUUUACUUUUUAGAUUCAUUCAAUUAAUGAUGUAUGUGGUCUAUAAUGGACCACAUACAUAAUUAAUUGAAUGAAUCUAAAAAGUAAAAUUUGCUUAUAU
This is a microRNA precursor of Medicago truncatula (barrel medic), 111 nucleotides long. It matches the Rfam family "MIR2593 microRNA precursor family". NCBI's taxonomy places the organism in Eukaryota, Viridiplantae, Streptophyta, Magnoliopsida, Fabales, Fabaceae. The record is from Rfam.